RNAcentral lists this ribosomal RNA (1376 nucleotides) under Nocardia asiatica. RNAcentral describes it as "bacterial SSU rRNA". It matches the Rfam family "Bacterial small subunit ribosomal RNA". Lineage: Bacteria; Bacillati; Actinomycetota; Actinomycetes; Mycobacteriales; Nocardiaceae. The record is from RNAcentral.
GCAGUCGAGCGGUAAGGCCCUUCGGGGUACACGAGCGGCGAACGGGUGAGUAACACGUGGGUGAUCUGCCUCGCACUUCGGGAUAAGCCUGGGAAACUGGGUCUAAUACCGGAUAUGACCUGCUGUCGCAUGGCGGUGGGUGGAAAGAUUUAUCGGUGCGAGAUGGGCCCGCGGCCUAUCAGCUUGUUGGUGGGGUAAUGGCCUACCAAGGCGACGACGGGUAGCCGGCCUGAGAGGGCGACCGGCCACACUGGGACUGAGACACGGCCCAGACUCCUACGGGAGGCAGCAGUGGGGAAUAUUGCACAAUGGGCGAAAGCCUGAUGCAGCGACGCCGCGUGAGGGAUGACGGCCUUCGGGUUGUAAACCUCUUUCGACAGGGACGAAGCGCAAGUGACGGUACCCUGUAGAAGAAGCACCGGCCAACUACGUGCCAGCAGCCGCGGUAAUACGUAGGGUGCGAGCGUUGUCCGGAAUUACUGGGCGUAAAGAGCUUGUAGGCGGUUUGUCGCGUCGUCCGUGAAAACUUGGGGCUCAACCCCAAGCUUGCGGGCGAUACGGGCAGACUUGAGUACUGCAGGGGAGACUGGAAUUCCUGGUGUAGCGGUGAAAUGCGCAGAUAUCAGGAGGAACACCGGUGGCGAAGGCGGGUCUCUGGGCAGUAACUGACGCUGAGAAGCGAAAGCGUGGGUAGCGAACAGGAUUAGAUACCCUGGUAGUCCACGCCGUAAACGGUGGGCGCUAGGUGUGGGUUUCCUUCCACGGGAUCCGUGCCGUAGCUAACGCAUUAAGCGCCCCGCCUGGGGAGUACGGCCGCAAGGCUAAAACUCAAAGGAAUUGACGGGGGCCCGCACAAGCGGCGGAGCAUGUGGAUUAAUUCGAUGCAACGCGAAGAACCUUACCUGGGUUUGACAUACACCGGAAACCUGCAGAGAUGUAGGCCCCCUUGUGGUCGGUGUACAGGUGGUGCAUGGCUGUCGUCAGCUCGUGUCGUGAGAUGUUGGGUUAAGUCCCGCAACGAGCGCAACCCUUGUCCUGUGUUGCCAGCGGAUUAUGCCGGGGACUCGCAGGAGACUGCCGGGGUCAACUCGGAGGAAGGUGGGGACGACGUCAAGUCAUCAUGCCCCUUAUGUCCAGGGCUUCACACAUGCUACAAUGGCCGGUACAGAGGGCUGCGAUACCGUGAGGUGGAGCGAAUCCCUUAAAGCCGGUCUCAGUUCGGAUCGGGGUCUGCAACUCGACCCCGUGAAGUUGGAGUCGCUAGUAAUCGCAGAUCAGCAACGCUGCGGUGAAUACGUUCCCGGGCCUUGUACACACCGCCCGUCACGUCAUGAAAGUCGGUAACACCCGAAGCCGGUGGCCUAACCCCUUGUGGG